Molecule: long non-coding RNA, 429 nt
Organism: Arachis duranensis
Lineage: Eukaryota; Viridiplantae; Streptophyta; Magnoliopsida; Fabales; Fabaceae
Exons: 2
Source: RefSeq, a predicted model, not a curated record
GAGCCACAUACCUUAAGGCACCCAUGGGAACAACAUUGGCCACCUUGGACAGACAUCAACUAGGACCCAUUGUUCAUUCCAAAUGCAGAUCUGACUCUGACUCUACUAUGCCCUCAACCAACAGGGAACCUACCAAGAGAGUAGUAAGAGAAAAAGAAUGUGGGUUGACCAAACAUCAGUUUUGUGCACCCUUGAUUAGGACUUACUAAUACUUUUUAGGGUAGAGUUGAAUCAUGUAUAGCUAUAGUUGCACUAGUAGUGUUUCCAAUUUCUUGCCAUUAAAUACUAUUAGUUGUUGUUGUUGCUAGUGCUCUAUUAUUGAUCCGGGGGGAGCUUCCGCAUUAGAUUUCAUUUAUCAGCAAAAUCACAUUAUAUUACUGUAUCAAUAAGCACGUUUAAUUCAUUUAAUAAAAUUCUGCAUUCUGACAA